GAAAGCAUUAAAAAACUCUGCAAAAUUUGAGGCGGCUAAAACUGGAAAAUCCACUGUUUCAUUGAGCUUUUUCCCUGUUUCAAAUCAAAACAUUAGCUCACCUGAGGUCAAAUGACUUAAGUUUCCUUGUGAUUCUAAGUAGUCGAAGUUUUAGAGGUCCCUGGUUAUUUCGAGUUGAUUUUGGGUCAUUCAAGCUCAAUUUGAUGUUCAAUAGUGUUACUUGCUUUAAAUUUCUUCCUGGACUGCAUAAUAUCAUCUUCUGGGGUAAAAAUUGAUGUUAAACUGUUAUUGACUGCUGAAUCACUCUGCUAAUCUCCAUUUCUCUUCCUUUGUUUCAAUUUCCAGGUAUAUUCUUAAGCUCCUAAUUGAGGAUUUCUCUUUACAUAUGUAAAGGAUUUGAAAUUCAUGCUAAAUUAAGAGAAUGCUAGAGUUGAAGUGUUCUGAUGUUGUUAUCAUGUUCUCUCACGUCCUUGAAUUAGAAGUAG
This 485-nucleotide long non-coding RNA is filed under the name Nicotiana benthamiana. RNAcentral describes it as "long non-coding RNA (NBEN_LNC034214)". Lineage: Eukaryota; Viridiplantae; Streptophyta; Magnoliopsida; Solanales; Solanaceae. The record is from RNAcentral.